UUGACGUCGGCGAUUUCAG
Molecule: unclassified non-coding RNA, 19 nt
Filed under: Chlamydomonas reinhardtii
Lineage: Eukaryota; Viridiplantae; Chlorophyta; Chlorophyceae; Chlamydomonadales; Chlamydomonadaceae
Description: small RNA Cre_3884
Source: RNAcentral